Long non-coding RNA from Rosa rugosa (rugosa rose), 1027 nucleotides. RefSeq lists it as uncharacterized. The record is from RefSeq and is a predicted model, not a curated record. The transcript has 3 exons. NCBI's taxonomy places the organism in Eukaryota, Viridiplantae, Streptophyta, Magnoliopsida, Rosales, Rosaceae.
GAGUUAUGCACUUUUUAAGUGUAAUCAGUUGGAUGCAUAUUGUUUUUCGCUGCAUGAGUAAUUUGUUUUUAAUGAGCUAAGAAGUGGGUUUUUGAAUUGCAAAGACAAGCAAAUCCAACUUUAAUAAUGUUCUUGGCUGGAAACAAGGCUGACUUGGAAGAGGAGAAAAGUAGGGACUGAGAAAAGUAGUCCUCACUUAGGAAGCAUAGAUCUAUCAGGGCAGAAAUGGUUAGGAAGUAGAGACGAUACGUCGUCUGCAGAAGGCAAGCAGAAAACAAGUAGUGAAGUCUUUGACCAUUGCGCAAUAGAUACACUGCUGAUUUCUCAUGGGACAAGUACUCUCUUCAUGAAGGACCUUUUGAGGAGGUCGGAGCAACGUGUUGAAACUUUUAUCAAUGGGGUAGAUUAGUUUAUGCUGUUGUUAACGAACUGUAUUUCAUGGUUUGAGUAUGACUUUCAUCAUUGGGAUAUAUGAUAAUACAUUGGAAGUUAUAUGUCUUUUUAAAUAAUAUCAAACAAUAGAAAGUUACCAACAACUAUGGUUUGAAACAAGUACACACAACAGAAAGAUCAAAGAUACUUCAAGCAUCUACACAUUCAAAGGACAUUUAAAUGUCCUUUUACAACAAUAGAGACAAUAGAUAACUAAUAGUGGAUGUUGUUUCAAUAAAGUUCACACAACAGAUUUGGCAAAGAAACAUGGAAAUUCUACACAUUCAGACGACAUUUUAUUGUCGUCUCGCAUUAAAACAGACAAUAGAUUAUUUGUAAAGUCUGUUGCUAGAGUUUGACAACAACAACAUUUGACUGUCGUUCUAUUUCAUAUCUAACCACAUAUACUUACAAUUUGUACAUAUUUAAGCACAUUCAGACGACAGAUUUUUUUUAGGUGUCUGUCGUCUGAGUGAAUUUCUGACGUCGGGCUUUAACCGUCGUCUGAACGUCAAUCAGAUAUCAGCUUACUAGACGACAGAUUUUUUGCAUAUCAGACGACGGUCAUUGUCUGUCGUCUGAUGAGGUUAUUGGC